AGUGAACGCUGGCGGCAGGCCUAACACAUGCAAGUCGAACGGCAGCACAGUAAGAGCUUGCUCUUACGGGUGGCGAGUGGCGGACGGGUGAGGAAUACAGCGUAAUCUACUUUUUCGUGGGGGAUAACGUAGGGAGACUUACGCUACUACCUCAUACGACCUACCGGUGAAAGCAGGUGUUCUUCGGACCUUGCCAGAACGAAUGAGCCGAUGUCGGAUUGGUUAGUUGGUUGGGUAAAGGCCCACCAAGGGGACGAUCGUUACCUGGCCUGAGAGGAUGGCCGCCCCAACUGGAACUGAGAAACGGUCCAGCCCCCUACGGGAGGCGCCAGAGGGGAAUAUUGGCCAAGGGGGGCAAGCCGGCUCCAGCAAGCCCGCGUGGGGGAGGAAGGCUUUCGGGUGGUAAAGCCUGUUUGUUGGGAAGGAAAAGCAGCAGGUUGAUACCCCGCUGUACUGACGGUACCCACAGAAUAAGCACCGGCUAACUUCGUG
This 492-nucleotide ribosomal RNA is filed under the name uncultured bacterium. RNAcentral's name for it is "partial 16S ribosomal RNA". It matches the Rfam family "Bacterial small subunit ribosomal RNA", at positions 29 to 507 of the family's 1533-position model. The record is from RNAcentral.